Nematolebias whitei (Rio pearlfish) is the source of this 349-nucleotide long non-coding RNA. RefSeq lists it as uncharacterized. NCBI's taxonomy places the organism in Eukaryota, Metazoa, Chordata, Actinopteri, Cyprinodontiformes, Rivulidae. The record is from RefSeq and is a predicted model, not a curated record. The transcript is spliced from 3 exons.
UUUGAAAGGUACUUGAACGCAGCACAAAGGGCGACAAUCGGCGCUCAGCUGAGCGAGAAGAACCGAUGGAUGUUUGUGUCUGAGCAGGAGAAAUGUGGACGAACAUGGAAAACAGGAGCUCGGUUCUCGUCAGUGAAGCGUUCAGCUCCGAGGUGGUUGACAUAAAUCUUGCAGAGCAGCUUUUCCACCCUGGUCAACAGAAAAAUGUUUCCACUGCAGCUGUGUCUUGUCCUUCUUGCACAGAAGACCCUCUAACCAGGAGCAGUGGAAUCAUCCCGGGUGAGAACGACUUUUUUUAUGCACCUGGUUGGACUCAUCCAGGGGGUUGGGUUCUGAACCAGAUACUUUC